UAGGAAUUGGCGGGGGAGCACUACAACGGGUGGAGCCUGCGGUUCAAUUGGAUUCAACGCCGGAAAGCUUACCGGGUCAGACAGCAAUAUGAAGGUCAAGCUAAAGACUUUACCGAAUUCGCUGAGAGGAGGUGCAUGGCCGUCGUCAGUUCGUAUCGUGAGACAUCCUGUUAAGUCAGGCAACGAGCAAGACCCGUGCCCACAGUUGCCAGCAUACCCUCCGGGGUGAUGGGCACACUGUGGGGACCGCCGCUGCUAAAGCGGAGGAAGGCGCGGGCUACGGUAGGUCAGUAUGCCCCGAAUCAUCCGGGCUACACGCGGGCUACAAUGGUUGGGACAAUGGGCACCUACACCGAGAGGUGAUGGUAAUCUCCUAAACCCAGCCUUAGUUCGGAUUGAGGGCUGCAACUCGCCCUCAUGAAGCCGGAAUCCGUAGUAAUCGCGUAUCAAUAUCACGCGGUGAAUACGUCCCUGCUCCUUGCACACACCGCCCGUCAAACCAUGCGAGUGAGGUCUGAAUGAGGGCACGCUUUUUGGCGUGUUCGAAUUUGGGCUUCGCGAGUGGGGUUAAGUCGUAACAAGGUAGCCUCAGUCAGUCA
RNAcentral lists this ribosomal RNA (599 nucleotides) under uncultured euryarchaeote. RNAcentral describes it as "bacterial SSU rRNA". It matches the Rfam family "Archaeal small subunit ribosomal RNA", at positions 858 to 1458 of the family's 1478-position model. Lineage: Archaea; Methanobacteriati; Methanobacteriota. The record is from RNAcentral.